RNAcentral lists this small nuclear RNA (20 nucleotides) under Arabidopsis thaliana (thale cress). RNAcentral describes it as "snRNA_09661". The record is from RNAcentral. Lineage: Eukaryota; Viridiplantae; Streptophyta; Magnoliopsida; Brassicales; Brassicaceae.
AUGCUUGACUCCUUGUACGC